This 680-nucleotide ribosomal RNA is filed under the name uncultured marine eukaryote. RNAcentral's name for it is "SSU rRNA". It matches the Rfam family "Eukaryotic small subunit ribosomal RNA", at positions 64 to 857 of the family's 1831-position model. The record is from RNAcentral.
UAUAAAUAACUACACAGUAAAACUGCGAAUGGCUCAUUAAAACAGUUAUAGUUUAUUUGAUACAAAAAAUGGAUAACUGUAGAAAAACUAGAGCUAAUACAUGCCGUAGCCGCAAGGUUGUAUUUAUUAGAUAUACCCAGUAGGUGAAUCAUAAUAACUAUGCAAAUCGUAACUAUGUUACGGUAAAUCAUUCAAGUUUCUGCCCUAUCAGCUUUCGAUGGUAGUGUAUUGGACUACCAUGGCUUUCACGGGUAACGGAGAAUUAGGGUUCGAUUCCGGAGAAGGAGCCUGAGAAACGGCUACUACAUCUAAGGAAGGCAGCAGGCGCGUAAAUUGCCCAAUCCUGACUCAGGGAGGUAGUGACAAGAUAUAACGACGCGAUUUUAAAUCGUGAUUGUAGUGAGGGUAUUCCAAACCGAACUUCGAGUACGAUUGGAGGGCAAGUCUGGUGCCAGCAGCCGCGGUAAUUCCAGCUCCAAUAGCGUAUAUUAAAGUUGUUGCAGUUAAAAAGCUCGUAGUUGGAUUUCAGGGUGGAGGUGAGGCAACUCACCAAAACCUAUCAGUCCCGAACGGACUGUUACUGUGAGAAAAUUAGAGUGUUUCAAGCAGGCUAUUGCAGGAAUACAUUAGCAUGGAAUAACGAGUGUGUCUAGAAUCUUGGUUAAUUCUAGAUUACGAUU